CCUGAGGUUUCUCUCUGCCUGUCCCCCUGAGGUUUCUCUCUCCCUGUCCCCCUGAGGUUUCUCUCUGCCUGUCCCCCUGAGGUUUCUCUCUCCCUGUUCAAAUGAGGUUUCUCUCUCCCUGUUCAAAUGAGGUUUCUCUCUCCCUGUCCCCCUGAGGUUUCUCUCUCCCUGUCCCCCUGAGGUUUCUCUCUCCCUGU
Molecule: long non-coding RNA, 197 nt
Organism: Oncorhynchus keta (chum salmon)
Lineage: Eukaryota; Metazoa; Chordata; Actinopteri; Salmoniformes; Salmonidae
Exons: 4
Source: RefSeq, a predicted model, not a curated record